This 1333-nucleotide ribosomal RNA is filed under the name Campylobacter jejuni. RNAcentral describes it as "bacterial SSU rRNA". It matches the Rfam family "Bacterial small subunit ribosomal RNA", at positions 179 to 1533 of the family's 1533-position model. Lineage: Bacteria; Pseudomonadati; Campylobacterota; Epsilonproteobacteria; Campylobacterales; Campylobacteraceae. The record is from RNAcentral.
CUGCUUAACACAAGUUGAGUAGGGAAAGUUUUUCGGUGUAGGAUGAGACUAUAUAGUAUCAGCUAGUUGGUAAGGUAAUGGCUUACCAAGGCUAUGACGCUUAACUGGUCUGAGAGGAUGAUCAGUCACACUGGAACUGAGACACGGUCCAGACUCCUACGGGAGGCAGCAGUAGGGAAUAUUGCGCAAUGGGGGAAACCCUGACGCAGCAACGCCGCGUGGAGGAUGACACUUUUCGGAGCGUAAACUCCUUUUCUUAGGGAAGAAUUCUGACGGUACCUAAGGAAUAAGCACCGGCUAACUCCGUGCCAGCAGCCGCGGUAAUACGGAGGGUGCAAGCGUUACUCGGAAUCACUGGGCGUAAAGGGCGCGUAGGCGGAUUAUCAAGUCUCUUGUGAAAUCUAAUGGCUUAACCAUUAAACUGCUUGGGAAACUGAUAGUCUAGAGUGAGGGAGAGGCAGAUGGAAUUGGUGGUGUAGGGGUAAAAUCCGUAGAUAUCACCAAGAAUACCCAUUGCGAAGGCGAUCUGCUGGAACUCAACUGACGCUAAGGCGCGAAAGCGUGGGGAGCAAACAGGAUUAGAUACCCUGGUAGUCCACGCCCUAAACGAUGUACACUAGUUGUUGGGGUGCUAGUCAUCUCAGUAAUGCAGCUAACGCAUUAAGUGUACCGCCUGGGGAGUACGGUCGCAAGAUUAAAACUCAAAGGAAUAGACGGGGACCCGCACAAGCGGUGGAGCAUGUGGUUUAAUUCGAAGAUACGCGAAGAACCUUACCUGGGCUUGAUAUCCUAAGAACCUUUUAGAGAUAAGAGGGUGCUAGCUUGCUAGAACUUAGAGACAGGUGCUGCACGGCUGUCGUCAGCUCGUGUCGUGAGAUGUUGGGUUAAGUCCCGCAACGAGCGCAACCCACGUAUUUAGUUGCUAACGGUUCGGCCGAGCACUCUAAAUAGACUGCCUUCGUAAGGAGGAGGAAGGUGUGGACGACGUCAAGUCAUCAUGGCCCUUAUGCCCAGGGCGACACACGUGCUACAAUGGCAUAUACAAUGAGACGCAAUACCGCGAGGUGGAGCAAAUCUAUAAAAUAUGUCCCAGUUCGGAUUGUUCUCUGCAACUCGAGAGCAUGAAGCCGGAAUCGCUAGUAAUCGUAGAUCAGCCAUGCUACGGUGAAUACGUUCCCGGGUCUUGUACUCACCGCCCGUCACACCAUGGGAGUUGAUUUCACUCGAAGCCGGAAUACUAAACUAGUUACCGUCCACAGUGGAAUCAGCGACUGGGGUGAAGUCGUAACAAGGUAACCGUAGGAGAACCUGCGGUUGGAUCACCUCCUUUCUA